CCUACGGGAGGCAGCAGUGAGGAAUAUUGGUCAAUGGCCGGAAGGCUGAACCAGCCACGCCGCGUGAAGGAUGAAGGUGCCAAGCAUUGUAAACUUCUUUUGUCAAGGGACACAAUCAGGCUCGAGAGCCUGACCGAGGGUACUUGAAGAAAAAGCAUCGGCUAACUCCGUGCCAGCAGCCGCGGUAAUACGGGGGAUGCGAGCGUUAUCCGGAUUUAUUGGGUUUAAAGGGUGCGUAGGCGGUCUGUUAAGUCAGCGGUAAAAGCCCGGGGCUCAACCCCGGCGCGCCGUUGAAACUGGCAGUCUAGAGUUGGAGAGAGGUAUGCGGAAUGCGCAGUGUAGCGGUGAAAUGCUUAGAUAUAGCGAAGAACUCCGAAUGCGAAGGCAGCAUACCGGCUCCGUACUGACGCUGAGGCACGAAAGCGUGGGUAGCGAACAGGAUUAGAUACCCCAGUAGUC
Molecule: ribosomal RNA, 459 nt
Filed under: uncultured bacterium
Lineage: Bacteria
Description: partial 16S ribosomal RNA
Rfam family: Bacterial small subunit ribosomal RNA
Source: RNAcentral